This 442-nucleotide long non-coding RNA is filed under the name Coccomyxa subellipsoidea. RNAcentral describes it as "long non-coding RNA (CSUB_LNC000158)". The record is from RNAcentral. Lineage: Eukaryota; Viridiplantae; Chlorophyta; Trebouxiophyceae; Coccomyxaceae.
AGGCCGGUGCACGGAGGGGCGGCGCGGCGGAGCCGGCAAACGGCGCGGCCGAUCUGCAGCAGCUGACGAUCCAAUUUGACCACAACUCGGUGGACGUUCGUGGCAUGCGCGUGGAUGAGGUGUCCUCCUUGAACUUUGUUUCUCAAACCUGUUUUGAUUUAAUUUCAUGUCUUCAAGGGCUCCAAGGUUUAGGAAAUUACCGAACAUUACAUUUCAUUGCAUUUUGUAACGUCUGUAGGGCUCCGGGAAGGGGUCCUUGCAAGUGCUCGCAUGCCACGUUGAGGUUGAAAGCUAAAUAUCGGACAAUUUGUCAAUCCUGUUGGGACGCAGGUGUCUGGGGUGAUUGAUGAGGCCAUUGCAGCCACACCCAGUGGGACAGCGGUGUUCAUAGUGCACGGAAUGGGGACCGGAAGAUUGAAGGCUGAGGUUCAGAGCCUGCUCA